CCUACGUGAGGCAGCAGUAGGGAAUCUUCCACAAUGGGCGAAAGCCUGAUGGAGCAACGCCGCGUGGGUGAAGAAGGUCUUCGGAUCGUAAAACCCUGUUGUUAGAGAAGAAAGUGCGUGAGAGUAACUGUUCACGUUUCGACGGUAUCUAACCAGAAAGCCACGGCUAACUACGUGCCAGCAGCCGCGGUAAUACGUCGGUGGCAAGCGUUAUCCGGAGUUAUUGGGCGUAAAGGGAACGCAGGCGGUCUUUUAAGUCUGAUGUGAAAGCCUUCGGCUUAACCGGAGUAGUGCAUUGGAAACUGGGAGACUUGAGUGCAGAAGAGGAGAGUGGAACUCCAUGUGUAGCGGUGAAAUGCGUAGAUAUAUGGAAGAACACCAGUGGCGAAAGCGGCUCUCUGGUCUGUAACGGACGCUGAGGUUCGAAAGCGUGGGUAGCAAACAGGAUUAGAUACCCUAGUAGUC
This 465-nucleotide ribosomal RNA is filed under the name uncultured bacterium. RNAcentral's name for it is "partial 16S ribosomal RNA". It matches the Rfam family "Bacterial small subunit ribosomal RNA", at positions 338 to 795 of the family's 1533-position model. The record is from RNAcentral.